UGAUUCUUUGCAAUGUUGGUGUUUGAGAAGGGGCUGGAGUCAGUAAUCUCAUGAGACCUGGAUGGCUGCUGCACUGGCCGUGUGUUAAAGUGGCUGAGUAUGCAGAUCCUGGGAUCAGACUCUCUUGGUAAUCCUCAAGAAUACUCUGUGUUCCAAGGGGAGUUUCUUUCUCCUCAAAUCUAUUUUUUCAGUAGGUUCUGGCUUUCAGGAACAAAAACCAGGAAGCUGUGCCACCCAUUUUUCAUGAGGUAGGAAUAAACCAGACAAACAUUCCUGCUUAAUAAAAAAAUUUUAAAACUGCAAGAGAAUUUCUGAUGGCAGAAUCAAGGCUUUCCAUCGAGACCCUUGAGAAAGGAAGUAGAAAAGCUGAGUAGGCUCUUAACUGGGAUCUCCUCUACUAGGUCUAGAGCAAGUCCAGUUAAAGGACAAUGGGG
This 434-nucleotide long non-coding RNA is filed under the name Fukomys damarensis (Damara mole-rat). Its description in RNAcentral is "lncRNA (ENSFDAG00000030063.1)". The record is from RNAcentral. Lineage: Eukaryota; Metazoa; Chordata; Mammalia; Rodentia; Bathyergidae.